This 790-nucleotide ribosomal RNA is filed under the name Methanolinea sp. enrichment culture clone L55A_3. RNAcentral describes it as "bacterial SSU rRNA". It matches the Rfam family "Archaeal small subunit ribosomal RNA", at positions 85 to 879 of the family's 1478-position model. The record is from RNAcentral. Lineage: Archaea; Methanobacteriati; Methanobacteriota; Methanomicrobia; Methanomicrobiales; Methanoregulaceae.
ACUGCUCAGUAACACGUGGACAACCUACCCUAAGGAGGGGGAUAACCCCGGGAAACUGGGGAUAAUACCCCAUAGACUAGAGAAGCUGGAAUGCUCUCAAGUCCAAAGGUCCGCCGCCUUAGGAUGGGUCUGCGGUCGAUUAGGUUGUUGUUGGGGUAACGGCCCAACAAGCCCGUGAUCGAUACGGGUUGUGAGAGCAAGAGCCCGGAGAUGGAUUCUGAGACACGAAUCCAGGCCCUACGGGGCGCAGCAGGCGCGAAAACUUUACAAUGCGGGAAACCGUGAUAAGGGAACCCCGAGUGCCCGUAAAUUCGGGCUGUCCAUCAGCGUAAAUAACUGGUGAAGAAAGGGCCGGGCAAGACCGGUGCCAGCCGCCGCGGUAAUACCGGCGGCUCGAGUGGUGGCCACUAUUAUUGGGCUUAAAGCGUCCGUAGCUUGGUUGUUAAGUCUCUUGGGAAAUCUACCGGCUCAACCGGUAGGCGUUCAGGAGAUACUGGCAAUCUAGGGACCGGGAGAGGUGAGAGGUACUCCAGGGGUAGGAGUGAAAUCCUGUAAUCCUUGGGGGACCACCUGUGGCGAAGGCGUCUCACUAGAACGGCUCCGACAGUGAGGGACGAAAGCUGGGGGAGCAAACCGGAUUAGAUACCCGGGUAGUCCCAGCUGUAAACGAUGCGCGUUAGGUGUAUCGGUGACCACGAGUCACCGAGGUGCCGAAGGGAAACCGUGAAACGUGCCGCCUGGGGAAGUACGGUCGCAAGGCUGAAACUUAAAGGAAUUGGCGGGGGAGCAC